AUGCUUUAUUUAUAUAUUUUAAUUUUUGAUUUAAUGCUAUGUAAUAAUUAUGUAAUAAGAUCUUAGAUAUAGAGAUUUUUUAAUUUUAGAAAAUAAAUUUUGAUUUAUUUUAGUCUUCCGCUGUAUGAUCUUGAAAAAGUUUCAAGAUCUAACCCUGAAACCCUAGAUCUGGUUCCUACAAUUGGUAUCAGAGCCAGGUUCUUUAUUACAU
RNAcentral lists this long non-coding RNA (211 nucleotides) under Elaeis guineensis (African oil palm). RNAcentral's name for it is "long non-coding RNA (EGUI_LNC016382)". The record is from RNAcentral. Lineage: Eukaryota; Viridiplantae; Streptophyta; Magnoliopsida; Arecales; Arecaceae.